GAUGAACGCUAGCUACAGGCUUAACACAUGCAAGUCGAGGGGCAGCAUGGUCUUAGCUUGCUAAGACUGAUGGCGACCGGCGCACGGGUGAGUAACACGUAUCCAACCUGCCGUCUACUCUUGGACAGCCUUCUGAAAGGAAGAUUAAUACAAGAUGGCAUCAUGAGUCCGCAUGUUCACAUGAUUAAAGGUAUUCCGGUAGACGAUGGGGAUGCGUUCCAUUAGAUAGUAGGCGGGGUAACGGCCCACCUAGUCUUCGAUGGAUAGGGGUUCUGAGAGGAAGGUCCCCCACAUUGGAACUGAGACACGGUCCAAACUCCUACGGGAGGCAGCAGUGAGGAAUAUUGGUCAAUGGGCGAGAGCCUGAACCAGCCAAGUAGCGUGAAGGAUGACUGCCCUAUGGGUUGUAAACUUCUUUUAUAAAGGAAUAAAGUCGGGUAUGCAUACCCGUUUGCAUGUACUUUAUGAAUAAGGAUCGGCUAACUCCGUGCCAGCAGCCGCGGUAAUACGGAGGAUCCGAGCGUUAUCCGGAUUUAUUGGGUUUAAAGGGAGCGUAGAUGGAUGUUUAAGUCAGUUGUGAAAGUUUGCGGCUCAACCGUAAAAUUGCAGUUGAUACUGGAUAUCUUGAGUGCAGUUGAGGCAGGCGGAAUUCGUGGUGUAGCGGUGAAAUGCUUAGAUAUCACGAAGAACUCCGAUUGCGAAGGCAGCCUGCUAAGCUGCAACUGACAUUGAGGCUCGAAAGUGUGGGUAUCAAACAGGAUUAGAUACCCUGGUAGUCCACACGGUAAACGAUGAAUACUCGCUGUUUGCGAUAUACUGCAAGCGGCCAAGCGAAAGCGUUAAGUAUUCCACCUGGGGAGUACGCCGGCAACGGUGAAACUCAAAGGAAUUGACGGGGGCCCGCACAAGCGGAGGAACAUGUGGUUUAAUUCGAUGAUACGCGAGGAACCUUACCCGGGCUUAAAUUGCAGAUGAAUUACGGUGAAAGCCGUAAGCCGCAAGGCAUCUGUGAAGGUGCUGCAUGGUUGUCGUCAGCUCGUGCCGUGAGGUGUCGGCUUAAGUGCCAUAACGAGCGCAACCCUUGUUGUCAGUUACUAACAGGUUCCGCUGAGGACUCUGACAAGACUGCCAUCGUAAGAUGUGAGGAAGGUGGGGAUGACGUCAAAUCAGCACGGCCCUUACGUCCGGGGCUACACACGUGUUACAAUGGGGGGUACAGAGGGCCGCUACCACGCGAGUGGAUGCCAAUCCCCAAAACCUCUCUCAGUUCGGACUGGAGUCUGCAACCCGACUCCACGAAGCUGGAUUCGCUAGUAAUCGCGCAUCAGCCACGGCGCGGUGAAUACGUUCCCGGGCCUUGUACACACCGCCCGUCAAGCCAUGGGAGCCGGGGGUACCUGAAGUGCGUAACCGCGAGGAGCGCCCUAGGGUAAAACUGGU
Molecule: ribosomal RNA, 1440 nt
Filed under: uncultured organism
Description: 16S ribosomal RNA
Rfam family: Bacterial small subunit ribosomal RNA
Source: RNAcentral